GUCUCAUCCAGUUCUGGGCGGACCCAGGCAGGAGUUUCCUCGAAGGAUUAGACAUCCUAGUUCUGCAACAGGCCGCCAGGUCGAGGGUACGCUAAGAAGAAGCUGAAAGCCACCCUACUGUCCCCCAGAGGCAGGAAGCAGAGGCAGAGGCAGAGGCAGGAAGGUCACCGAGAAUUUGAGACCAGCCUGGGCUAAGAAGUGAGUUCAAGGCCAGCCUGAACUGCAUUGAAGUGGAAGCAGCCUUCAUCCAGCUCAAACCGUGUGGAGCCCCUGACCCCUUGGCUUGGGCCUGUGUGAGUGUCGUGUGGGUGGCCUUUCCACAUCAGAAGACAAUCGAGACCUAGAGGCUGGACCUGCAAACACCCAGUUGGAAGCAGAACGAACCCGAGAUCUCUGCUUUGCUCUACAUUGAUUGGCAAAAUGGGCCUGGUUUGAUAACAGAGAGGUCCUGUGUCCCAGCUCCUGACCUAGUUAAGGUCUCAGUUAAU
RNAcentral lists this long non-coding RNA (488 nucleotides) under Heterocephalus glaber (naked mole-rat). RNAcentral's name for it is "lncRNA (ENSHGLG00100039775.1)". The record is from RNAcentral. Lineage: Eukaryota; Metazoa; Chordata; Mammalia; Rodentia; Bathyergidae.